GAUGACCUGCUGACGGCGAGCUUAACACAUACAAGUCGAACGGUGAACACGGAGCUUGCUCUGUGGGAUCAGUGGUGAACGGGUGAGUAACACGUGAGCAGCUUGCUGCAGUCUAUGGGAUAAGCGCUGGAAACGGCGUCUAAUACCGGAUAUGAGCUCCUGCCGCAUGGUGGGGGUUGGAAAGAUUUAUCGGUCUGGGAUGGGCUCGCGGCCUAUCAGCUUGUUGGUGAGGUAAUGGCUCACCAAGGCGUAGACGGGUAGCCGGCCUGAGAGGGUGACCGGCCACACUGGGAUUGAGACACGGCCCAGACUCCUACGGGAGGCAGCAGUGGGGAAUAUUGCACAAUGGGCGCAAGCCUGAUGCAGCAACGCCGCGUGAGGGAUGACGGCCUUCGGGUUGUAAACCUCUUUUGGCAGGGAAGAAGCCUUCGGGCGACGGUACCUGCAGAAAAAGCACCGGCUAACUACGUG
RNAcentral lists this ribosomal RNA (471 nucleotides) under uncultured bacterium. RNAcentral's name for it is "bacterial SSU rRNA". It matches the Rfam family "Bacterial small subunit ribosomal RNA", at positions 34 to 507 of the family's 1533-position model. The record is from RNAcentral.